RNAcentral lists this long non-coding RNA (215 nucleotides) under Elaeis guineensis (African oil palm). Its description in RNAcentral is "long non-coding RNA (EGUI_LNC059712)". The record is from RNAcentral. Lineage: Eukaryota; Viridiplantae; Streptophyta; Magnoliopsida; Arecales; Arecaceae.
AGAUGGUAGAUUAUGGAUGAAUCAUCAAACUUCAUCAUCGGUCAUAUGAUAGAUUCAAUCAGUUUGAGUCCAUGCAUGAUUCUUAUAAAAAUUUUUUUCUAUUGAUCAUACUGCUAUGGCUAUAGAUUUAAGGACUCAACUUCAUAAAUCUGAUAGGACUACUUUCUUCUGCUAGGAUCGAUAGAUCUCAUCUAGGUGUACACCCUACUCCUACA